Molecule: ribosomal RNA, 1474 nt
Filed under: Weissella confusa
Lineage: Bacteria; Bacillati; Bacillota; Bacilli; Lactobacillales; Lactobacillaceae
Description: bacterial SSU rRNA
Rfam family: Bacterial small subunit ribosomal RNA
Source: RNAcentral
AGGCCCUAAUACAUGCAAGUCGAACGCUUUGUGGUUCAACUGAUUUGAAGAGCUUGCUCAGAUAUGACGAUGGACAUUGCAAAGAGUGGCGAACGGGUGAGUAACACGUGGGAAACCUACCUCUUAGCAGGGGAUAACAUUUGGAAACAGAUGCUAAUACCGUAUAACAAUGACAACCGCAUGGUUGUUAUUUAAAAGAUGGUUCUGCUAUCACUAAGAGAUGGUCCCGCGGUGCAUUAGCUAGUUGGUAAGGUAAUGGCUUACCAAGGCGAUGAUGCAUAGCCGAGUUGAGAGACUGAUCGGCCACAAUGGGACUGAGACACGGCCCAUACUCCUACGGGAGGCAGCAGUAGGGAAUCUUCCACAAUGGGCGAAAGCCUGAUGGAGCAACGCCGCGUGUGUGAUGAAGGGUUUCGGCUCGUAAAACACUGUUGUAAGAGAAGAAUGACAUUGAGAGUAACUGUUCAAUGUGUGACGGUAUCUUACCAGAAAGGAACGGCUAAAUACGUGCCAGCAGCCGCGGUAAUACGUAUGUUCCAAGCGUUAUCCGGAUUUAUUGGGCGUAAAGCGAGCGCAGACGGUUAUUUAAGUCUGAAGUGAAAGCCCUCAGCUCAACUGAGGAAUUGCUUUGGAAACUGGAUGACUUGAGUGCAGUAGAGGAAAGUGGAACUCCAUGUGUAGCGGUGAAAUGCGUAGAUAUAUGGAAGAACACCAGUGGCGAAGGCGGCUUUCUGGACUGUAACUGACGUUGAGGCUCGAAAGUGUGGGUAGCAAACAGGAUUAGAUACCCUGGUAGUCCACACCGUAAACGAUGAGUGCUAGGUGUUUGAGGGUUUCCGCCCUUAAGUGCCGCAGCUAACGCAUUAAGCACUCCGCCUGGGGAGUACGACCGCAAGGUUGAAACUCAAAGGAAUUGACGGGGACCCGCACAAGCGGUGGAGCAUGUGGUUUAAUUCGAAGCAACGCGAAGAACCUUACCAGGUCUUGACAUCCCUUGACAACUCCAGAGAUGGAGCGUUCCCUUCGGGGACAAGGUGACAGGUGGUGCAUGGUUGUCGUCAGCUCGUGUCGUGAGAUGUUGGGUUAAGUCCCGCAACGAGCGCAACCCUUAUUACUAGUUGCCAGCAUUCAGUUGGGCACUCUAGUGAGACUGCCGGUGACAAACCGGAGGAAGGUGGGGAUGACGUCAAAUCAUCAUGCCCCUUAUGACCUGGGCUACACACGUGCUACAAUGGCGUAUACAACGAGUUGCCAACCCGCGAGGGUGAGCUAAUCUCUUAAAGUACGUCUCAGUUCGGAUUGUAGGCUGCAACUCGCCUACAUGAAGUCGGAAUCGCUAGUAAUCGCGGAUCAGCACGCCGCGGUGAAUACGUUCCCGGGUCUUGUACACACCGCCCGUCACACCAUGAGAGUUUGUAACACCCAAAGCCGGUGGGGUAACCUUCGGGAGCCAGCCGUCUAAAGGGGGACAAAA